Long non-coding RNA from Neofelis nebulosa (Clouded leopard), 305 nucleotides. RefSeq lists it as uncharacterized. The record is from RefSeq and is a predicted model, not a curated record. The transcript has 3 exons. NCBI's taxonomy places the organism in Eukaryota, Metazoa, Chordata, Mammalia, Carnivora, Felidae.
CAGGUUCCCCUGAAGGAUGCCUGAGUUUCGAUGACCCUAGAGGAAGUGGACAAGAGGAGGCAAGAUCCUUGAGAGACUCCAGCUGUAGGUCCUGAUUCAGUUGCGGAGCACAGAAGGGUCCUUUUGUCCGAGUAGGGAAACGGGUCAGAUUAUGCCAGGGGCAUUUCCGUGGUCAGGAGCUGAAGACGGACCAGGCCUGUGGAAAAGUAUGGUUGUCAUCACGAGGAAAGCAAACAAACACAGACUCUUAAGGCUAGAGAGUCUCUCCAUCUUGCCUCGGAACUGCCUUGUAUCUCUUACCUGGA